This 94-nucleotide small RNA is filed under the name Arabidopsis thaliana (thale cress). Its description in RNAcentral is "ATSL138220". Lineage: Eukaryota; Viridiplantae; Streptophyta; Magnoliopsida; Brassicales; Brassicaceae. The record is from RNAcentral.
UAACAUAUGUAAACAUCUUAUCGUUAAACUUACUACAUGUCCUGAUCUCGUGAGUUAGUAACUUUUGAAACCGUACUUUAUAUAAUAAGAUAUA